CGCCAGACUCCUACGGGAGGCAGCAGUGGGGAAUAUUGCACAAUGGGGGAAACCCUGAUGCAGCAACGCCGCGUGAGUGAAGAAGUAUUUCGGUAUGUAAAGCUCUAUCAGCAGGGAAGAGAAUGACGGUACCUGACUAAGAAGCCCCGGCUAACUACGUGCCAGCAGCCGCGGUAAUACGUAGGGGGCGAGCGUUAUCCGGAUUUACUGGGUGUAAAGGGAGCGUAGACGGUUCUGCAAGUCUGAAGUGAAAGCCCGUGGCUUAACCGCGGAACGGCUUUGGAAACUGUGGAACCGGAGUGCUGGAGAGGCAAGCGGAAUUCCUAGUGUAGCGGUGAAAUGCGUAGAUAUUAGGAGGAACACCAGUGGCGAAGGCGGCUUGCUGAACAGUAACUGACGUUGAGGCUCGAAAGCGUGGGGAGCAAACAGGAUUAGAUACCCUAGUA
RNAcentral lists this ribosomal RNA (446 nucleotides) under uncultured bacterium. Its description in RNAcentral is "bacterial SSU rRNA". It matches the Rfam family "Bacterial small subunit ribosomal RNA", at positions 329 to 792 of the family's 1533-position model. The record is from RNAcentral.